Molecule: unclassified non-coding RNA, 102 nt
Filed under: Iranian peach phytoplasma PP81
Lineage: Bacteria; Bacillati; Mycoplasmatota; Mollicutes; Acholeplasmatales; Acholeplasmataceae
Description: partial 16S-23S ribosomal RNA intergenic spacer
Source: RNAcentral
CUAAGGAAACCAAUAAAAUCAAUCAUCUUCAGUUUUGAAAGACUUAGGAUAACUAAGUUUUUCUUCGUGACUUCACGAAGGGCCUAUAGCUCAGUUGGUUAG